GAAUAUUGCGCAAUGGCCGAAAGGCUGACGCAGCGACGCCGCGUGUGGGAGGAAGCCCUUCGGGGUGUAAACCACUGUCAGGCGGGAAGAAACCCGAGCGGACGAAUAGCCCGUUCGGCUGCCGGUCCCUCCAGAGGAAGCGCCGGCCAACUCCGUGCCAGCAGCCGCGGUAAGACGGAGGGCGCAAGCGUUGUUCGGAAUUACUGGGCGUCAAGCGCGGGCAGGCGGUCCUUUAAGUCCUUUGUGAAACUCCGGUGGCUCAACCCCGGACAUGCGUAGGAUACUGGAGGACUGGAGAGCGGUAGAGGCGAGUGGAAUUCCUGGUGUAGCGGUGGAAUGCGUAGAUAUCAGGAAGAACACCGGUGGCGAAGGCGGCUCGCUGGGCCGGUUCUGACGCUCAUCCGCGAAAGCGUGGGGAGCAAACAGG
RNAcentral lists this ribosomal RNA (427 nucleotides) under uncultured bacterium. RNAcentral describes it as "bacterial SSU rRNA". It matches the Rfam family "Bacterial small subunit ribosomal RNA", at positions 359 to 776 of the family's 1533-position model. The record is from RNAcentral.